This 305-nucleotide ribosomal RNA is filed under the name uncultured bacterium. RNAcentral describes it as "bacterial SSU rRNA". It matches the Rfam family "Bacterial small subunit ribosomal RNA", at positions 336 to 657 of the family's 1533-position model. The record is from RNAcentral.
CUCCUACGGGAGGCAGCAGUGGGGAAUAUUGGGCAAUGGACGCAAGUCUGACCCAGCAACGCCGCGUGAAGGAAGAAGGCUUUCGGGUUGUAAACUUCUUUUAAGGGGGAAGAGCAGAAGACGGUACCCCUUGAAUAAGCCACGGCUAACUACGUGCCAGCAGCCGCGGUAUACGUAGGGGGCAAGCGUUAUCCGGAUUUACUGGGUGUAAAGGGAGCGUAGACGGCAAUACAAGUCGGAAGUGAAAUACCCGGGCUCAACCUGGGAACUGCUUUGGAAACUGUAUGGCUGGAGUGCUGGAGAGG